RNAcentral lists this ribosomal RNA (403 nucleotides) under Peponocephala electra (melon-headed whale). RNAcentral describes it as "partial 12S ribosomal RNA". It matches the Rfam family "Bacterial small subunit ribosomal RNA", at positions 794 to 1384 of the family's 1533-position model. Lineage: Eukaryota; Metazoa; Chordata; Mammalia; Artiodactyla; Delphinidae. The record is from RNAcentral.
GCUUAGUCGUAAACUUAAAUAGUCCUAGAACAAGACUAUUCGCCAGAGUACUAUCGGCAACAGCCCAAAACUCAAAGGACUUGGCGGUGCUUCAUAUCCUUCUAGAGGAGCCUGUUCUGUAAACGAUAAACCACGAUUAACCUCACCAAUCCUUGCUACUUCAGUCUAUAUACCGCCAUCUUCAGCAAACCCUAAAAAAGGAAUGAAAGUAAGCACAACUAUUGCACGUAAAAACGUUAGGUCAAGGUGUAACCUAUGGAUUGGGAAGAAAUGGGCUACAUUUUCUAUAAUAAGAACACCCCUUAAACUUACACGAAAGUUUUUAUGAAAUCUAAAAACUAAAGGAGGAUUUAGCAGUAAAUUAAGAAUAGAAUGCUUAAUUGAAUAAGGCCAUGAAGCACGC